GGAACAGGCGAUAUAUUUCUCUGAUCUCCCCCUUAAAUACGCCGUUAUAGGACCUCUCGUCGCGCAGUCCGAAUUUAAUUUCUCGUUCAAUCGAUGAUCGCGAUUUAGGUCUCAACAAGGCUCGGAGGAUGCGUACACGCAACCGCCGUCAAUGUUUAGUACGAUGGAAACUUAUAAAUAUAUUAUGGUCUCUCGAGUCGUGCGUAUAUACA
This is a non-coding RNA of Cinara cedri, 212 nucleotides long. Lineage: Eukaryota; Metazoa; Arthropoda; Insecta; Hemiptera; Aphididae. The record is from the annotation of a GenBank genome assembly.